This 497-nucleotide ribosomal RNA is filed under the name uncultured bacterium. RNAcentral's name for it is "partial 16S ribosomal RNA". It matches the Rfam family "Bacterial small subunit ribosomal RNA", at positions 28 to 507 of the family's 1533-position model. The record is from RNAcentral.
GAUGAACGCUGGCGGCGUGCCUAAUACAUGCAAGUCGAGCGAACGGACGAGAAGCUUGCUUUUCUGAUGUUAGCGGCGGACGGGUGAGUAACACGUGGAUAACCUACCUAUAAGACUGGGAUAACUUCGGGAAACCGGAGCUAAUACCGGAUAAUAUUUUGAACCGCAUGGUUCAAAAGUGAAAGACGGUCUUGCUGUCACUUAUAGAUGGAUCCGCGCUGCAUUAGCUAGUUGGUAAGGUAACGGCUUACCAAGGCAACGAUGCAUAGCCGACCUGAGAGGGUGAUAGGCCACACUGGAACUGAGACACGGUCCAGACUCCUACGGGAGGCAGCAGUAGGGAAUCUUCCGCAAUGGGCGAAAGCCUGACGGAGCAACGCCGCGUGAGUGAUGAAGGUCUUCGGAUCGUAAAACUCUGUUAUUAGGGAAGAACAUAUGUGUAAGUAACUGUACACAUCUUGACGGUACCUAAUCAGAAAGCCACGGCUAACUACGUG